RNAcentral lists this ribosomal RNA (533 nucleotides) under uncultured Cadophora. Its description in RNAcentral is "eukaryotic LSU rRNA". The stretch from base 179 to 332 matches the Rfam family "5.8S ribosomal RNA". Lineage: Eukaryota; Fungi; Ascomycota; Leotiomycetes; Helotiales. The record is from RNAcentral.
UCGCGUACACAGGGGCAACCCUCGCGCGAUGUCAGCAAUACCUAGGUCACCCUUGAAUAAACUACCCUUGUUGCUUUGGCGGGCCGCCCCUCGGGGCCAGCGGCUUCGGCUGCUGCGCGCCCGCCAGAGGACCACAACUCUUGUUUUUAGUGAUGUCUGAGUACUAUAUAAUAGUUAAAACUUUCAACAACGGAUCUCUUGGUUCUGGCAUCGAUGAAGAACGCAGCGAAAUGCGAUAAGUAAUGUGAAUUGCAGAAUUCAGUGAAUCAUCGAAUCUUUGAACGCACAUUGCGCCCUUUGGUAUUCCGAAGGGCAUGCCUGUUCGAGCGUCAUUAUAACCACUCAAGCCUUCGCUUGGUAUUGGGGUUCGCGGCUGCGCGGCCCCUAAAAUCAGUGGCGGUGCCUGUCGGCUCUACGCGUAGUAAUACUCCUCGCGUCUGGGUUCCGGUAGGUUGCUUGCCAGCAACCCCUAAAUUUUUUACAGGUUGACCUCGGAUCAGGUAGGGAUACCCGCUGAACUUAAGCAUAUCAAA